ACUGAGAAAAGAGGCCUUCGGGUCUCCCUCACUAAUACCCCGCCUUCCAACAAAGUCCCUCUGGGGACGUAACUUUGUGUUGGAGGGUCUGAAAAUGACCCUCCACCCCCUAUAAAACUCUGAAUGUUUGUGCAGUCUGAGUAUAUAUUCUAAUAUAUGAA
This 161-nucleotide unclassified non-coding RNA is filed under the name uncultured fungus. Its description in RNAcentral is "sequence contains ITS1". Lineage: Eukaryota; Fungi. The record is from RNAcentral.